RNAcentral lists this ribosomal RNA (502 nucleotides) under uncultured Alphaproteobacteria bacterium. RNAcentral describes it as "bacterial SSU rRNA". It matches the Rfam family "Bacterial small subunit ribosomal RNA", at positions 96 to 633 of the family's 1533-position model. Lineage: Bacteria; Pseudomonadati; Pseudomonadota; Alphaproteobacteria. The record is from RNAcentral.
UGGCGCACGGGCGAGUAACGCGUGGGAAUAUACCUAGAAGUAUGGAAUAACCUCUGGAAACGGUGGAUAAUACCAUAUGUCCCCUGAGGGGGAAAGAUUUAUCGCUUCUAGAUUAGCCCGCGUGACAUUAGCUUGUUGGUGAGGUAAAGGCUCACCAAGGCGACGAUGUCUAGCUGGUCUGAGAGGAUGACCAGCCACACUGGAACUGAGACACGGUCCAGACUCCUACGGGAGGCAGCAGUGGGGAAUAUUGGGCAAUGGGCGAAAGCCUGACCCAGCCAUGCCGCGUGAAUGAUGAAGGCCUUAGGGUUGUAAAAUUCUUUCGCAGGUGAAGAUAAUGACGGUAACCUGAUAAGAAGCCCCGGCUAACUUCGUGCCAGCAGCCGCGGUAAUACGAAGGGGGCUAGCGUUGUUCGGAAUUACUGGGCGUAAAGAGUAUGUAGGCGGAUAUCUAAGCUAGAGGUGAAAGCCCAAGGCUUAACCUUGGAACUGCCUUUAGAAC